UCUAGGUAGGGUCCAUUUCAACGGUCUGGCUUAUGACAAGGCAAUGGGAUCCCAGGGAGCCUGAAUGACUCUCCCUUGCCCAGGAGUGGGCAGAAGCUCGCCCAUCCCAGUAGGAUGUCUGCUGGCAAAUUCCAGCAGAGGACUCCGUUCCCAGCCCUGCUGCUGCUUCUGGUUUAUAGGUGAGAUGGUCCUCCAUUCAAAGUCAAGUUCGUUUGCCCAGCUUGCACAUCAUGACCUUGGAAAUGCACCCUCAUCACUGUCUACUUGACAAGGACAUCCAUACGUGGUGCUCAGCUUCUCUAAUCUCCUGAUGAUGAUGGAGACGUGGAGACGUGGAGAUGACGAAGCUUGGCGAGGCCAGAAGUGUUGUCCUCACAAACCAAGGCAUAUCUAGAACACUCAUGCAGAGGGAGGCAGCUGCCGUAAUCAAUCUGCCAGUCCCUCACAGGUUGGGAACUCCGGUGAGUGGCCCCAGACCCCUCUGACAGUGGCCUUGGGUGAUGUUUAGCACACAAAGAACAUGCUCUUACCACAUUAACCAGGUCCUCCUCUUUCAAGGGCAGAUGGCGUCUUUGGAUAGAAGUCACCCACCUGGGUACCAAGGUGACCACUUCCUGGGCAUCCAGUCUGCUGUGUCUACUAAACGGUCAGUUGCUAGGGCUCAUCCCGAAGCUAGGGCAUCACCUUCCUGAUUGCUUGGGGUGCCCGCGGCUUAUGAACCAGACAUGGAAGACAGCAGGACCACCUGAAGCCCUUGCAGGCAAACUCAAAUGUCC
This 776-nucleotide long non-coding RNA is filed under the name Mustela putorius furo (domestic ferret). RNAcentral's name for it is "lncRNA (ENSMPUG00000030718.1)". The record is from RNAcentral. Lineage: Eukaryota; Metazoa; Chordata; Mammalia; Carnivora; Mustelidae.